CCCCUUGAGGCGGGCGGGGCUGCCCCCUAUAUUGGCCCUGUUCCCGGCAACGGGGACUAUGGACAUAAACGCGCUCGUAAUAAGCGGAUCGGACCCGGGGGCGGUACCCGGCGGCUCCACCAAACACCCGGCGUUGCGGGUCAGGGGGCCGAAACAGGAUCGACGAACGUCUAAAGGGGUUUGCUUUGUCUCGGCUGUCUGCCACCGUUAUCGGCGAAACAAGUACAAUUGCAAAUGACAAUCGUGCUCCGGCAAUGGCUCUGGCA
RNAcentral lists this transfer-messenger RNA (266 nucleotides) under Paracoccaceae bacterium. Its description in RNAcentral is "Rhodobacteraceae bacterium (activated sludge metagenome) partial transfer-messenger RNA". It matches the Rfam family "Alphaproteobacteria transfer-messenger RNA", at positions 1 to 264 of the family's 355-position model. From Rfam's summary of the family: Bacterial tmRNA, also known as 10Sa RNA or SsrA, is named for its dual tRNA and mRNA-like properties. Its role is to liberate the mRNA from a stalled ribosome. To accomplish this part of the tmRNA is used as a reading frame that ends in a translation stop signal. The record is from RNAcentral. Lineage: Bacteria; Pseudomonadati; Pseudomonadota; Alphaproteobacteria; Rhodobacterales; Paracoccaceae.